Molecule: long non-coding RNA, 224 nt
Organism: Pan troglodytes (chimpanzee)
Lineage: Eukaryota; Metazoa; Chordata; Mammalia; Primates; Hominidae
Exons: 3
Source: RefSeq, a predicted model, not a curated record
GCAUUUAGAGGCAAAAUGGCGGAGUUUAACUGAUACAUGACCUUCUUCUGGGAACACUUGACUGUUCUUCAAGAUGCCAAGAACAUGGACACCUUCUACCAGCCAGGAGGAAGAGAGACCAUCAAGCUUCAGAUGAUCAUGCAACAAAGGUUCCAGCCAGUUGCAGGUGAAGACACCACCUCCAGCAGUAAAGAAGCUACCCCACCUCCACUAGACAGAGCAGG